UACGUAGGGUGCAAGCGUUGUCCGGAAUUAUUGGGCGUAAAGAGCUCGUAGGCGGUCUGUCGCGUCGGCUGAUGAAAACCCGGAGCUCAACUCCGGAUCUGCGGUUGGGUACGGGCAGACUAGAGUGGAUGUAGGGGAGACGUAGGAAUUCCUGGAUGUAGCGGUGAAAUGCGCAGAUAUCAGGAAGAACACCCGUGGCUAAGGCGGCUCUCUAGUACGGUACUGACGCUGAGACGCGAAAGCGUGGGGAGCGAACAGG
This 259-nucleotide ribosomal RNA is filed under the name uncultured bacterium. RNAcentral describes it as "partial 16S ribosomal RNA". It matches the Rfam family "Bacterial small subunit ribosomal RNA", at positions 524 to 776 of the family's 1533-position model. The record is from RNAcentral.